GUAGUCAUAUGCUUGUCUCAAAGAUUAAGCCAUGCAUGUCUAAGUAUAAGCAAUUAUACCGUGAAACUGCGAAUGGCUCAUUAAAUCAGUUAUCGUUUAUUUGAUAGUACCUUACUACUUGGAUAACCGUGGUAAUUCUAGAGCUAAUACAUGCUAAAAACCCCGACUUCGGGAGGGGUGUAUUUAUUAGAUAAAAAACCAAUGCCCUUCGGGGCUCUCUGGUGAUUCAUAAUAACUUAACGGAUCGCAUGGCCUUGCGCCGGCGACGGUUCAUUCAAAUUUCUGCCCUAUCAACUUUCGAUGGUAAGGUAUUGGCUUACCAUGGUUUCAACGGGUAACGGGGAAUUAGGGUUCGAUUCCGGAGAGGGAGCCUGAGAAACGGCUACCACAUCCAAGGAAGGCAGCAGGCGCGCAAAUUACCCAAUCCCGACACGGGGAGGUAGUGACAAUAAAUACUGAUACAGGGCUCUUUUGGGUCUUGUAAUUGGAAUGAGUAAAAUUUAAACCCCUUAACGAGGAACAAUUGGAGGGCAAGUCUGGUGCCAGCAGCCGCGGUAAUUCCAGCUCCAAUAGCGUAUAUUAAAGUUGUUGCAGUUAAAAAGCUCGUAGUUGAAACUUGGGCCUGGCUGGCCGGUCCGCCUCACCGCGUGUACUGGUCCGGCCGGGCCUUUCCUUCUGGAGAGCCUCAUGCCCUUCACUGGGUGUGUUGGGGAACCAGGACUUUUACUUUGAAAAAAUUAGAGUGUUCAAAGCAGGCCUUUGCUCGAAUACGUUAGCAUGGAAUAAUAGAAUAGGACGUGCGAUCCUAUUUUGUUGGUUUCUAGGACCGCCGUAAUGAUUAAUAGGGAUAGUCGGGGGCAUCAGUAUUCAAUUGUCAGAGGUGAAAUUCUUGGAUUUAUUGAAGACUAACUACUGCGAAAGCAUUUGCCAAGGAUGUUUUCAUUAAUCAGUGAACGAAAGUUAGGGGAUCGAAGACGAUCAGAUACCGUCGUAGUCUUAACCGUAAACUAUGCCGACUAGGGAUCGGGCGAUGUUAUUAUUUUGACUCGCUCGGCACCUUACGAGAAAUCAAAGUUUUUGGGUUCUGGGGGGAGUAUGGUCGCAAGGCUGAAACUUAAAGGAAUUGACGGAAG
Molecule: ribosomal RNA, 1133 nt
Filed under: Lindgomyces angustiascus
Lineage: Eukaryota; Fungi; Ascomycota; Dothideomycetes; Pleosporales; Lindgomycetaceae
Description: SSU rRNA
Rfam family: Eukaryotic small subunit ribosomal RNA
Source: RNAcentral